Fundulus heteroclitus (mummichog) is the source of this 661-nucleotide long non-coding RNA. RefSeq lists it as uncharacterized. The transcript has 2 exons. The record is from RefSeq and is a predicted model, not a curated record. NCBI's taxonomy places the organism in Eukaryota, Metazoa, Chordata, Actinopteri, Cyprinodontiformes, Fundulidae.
CAGGAUCUUUCUCUCAUCAGCAAACGUGUUCAUUGUUUGUUGCAGGGGAAUAUUUUCUUAUCUGCCUGUGAAGAACGGACAACAGAGUACGCUCAAGUUCAGUGAGAUUGGAUGGAGGGGUUCUCAUAGACCGGACCUGGAUCCAUUCUAACACCUGAAUAUUCUGUAAGGGGCUGCCUCCAACGUCCCAUCCACUCUGACCAACACCACCGUCCCUGCUGAGGAGGACAGCAUGACGCUGCCUCCACCAUGCCUACAGCAGGGAUGGGCCCUUCCUGUGCUGCUGAACUUCACACACAGCGUUGUCCCAGUCGGACAAAGUUAUCUGACCAGAGCACCUUCCUCCACGUUUGCUGUGUGCUCCACAUGGCUCGCCGCAAACUGCAAAUAAACUUCUUAUGGCUUCUUCCACAAAGUUUAGAUUUGUGAAUUAUUUGACUAAUAGUUAACAGAUUCUCCCAUAUAACUAGGGGAUCUCUGCAGCUUUUUCACAGAACAGCUGAAUUUAUGCUGAGGUGCAAAGCCACACAGGUGGACCUUUCUACUAAGUGAUUUCUGACCGUAAAUGGCUGCACUGGAUUUAUUUAAGAGUAAAAGAGUAGACAGGACUCAUCAGAGAUGCAUGCCAAACCUGUUUUCAGAUGUUCAUUUGUAAAAAAAA